UCGGCCAGGCAGGGAUAAAUCUUGAUCAAGACAUUAGUUUCCCCAGUAAUGUCUGCCCAUUCAAGAUCCAUCUUCUUCCUCAUUUUACACUAUCUUCAAUUUCUCACUUCAUCCACUCCUUGUAAUGCAAUCAAGAAUUCAAGCCCCAAUAAUCUUCAGUAUCCAUGCACUCCACCUUACUUCAAUUCCUACCCUUUUUGCAAUAACUCAAAUCCCACAAAAGCCAGAGCAGAAUCCUUAAUUUCCCUCUUAACAAUCGAUGAAAAAAUUCAACUACUCUGCAACAAUUUUUCCGGUAUUCCAAGGCUGGGAAUUCCUCCCUAUGAGUGGUGGUCCGAGUCCCUCCACGGCCUCGCCACCAAUGGACCUGGGAUCACUUUCAAUGGCUCUAUUAAAUCCGCCACAGGCUUCCCCCAAGUCAUCCUCACGGCCGCCGCAUUCAACAGAACCCUAUGGGCGGAGAUUGCUUCGGCUAUAGCAGUCGAGGCCCGGGCCAUGUACAACUUGGGACAAGCUGGAUUGACAUUUUGGGCGCCUAAUAUUAACAUUUUUAGGGAUCCCAGAUGGGGGAGGGGUCAAGAAACUCCUGGAGAAGACCCUAUGGUGGCUGCUGCUUAUGCUAUAGAGUACGUGAGGGCUUUUCAGGGUCAAAAUAAGAGAUUUUGGAAGAGACGUAAACAUGGGUUUUUACAAAGGAAAGUGUGGACAAAUGAUUAUGGGAGUGAUAAAUUAAAGUUGUCUGCUUGUUGCAAGCAUUUCACCGCUUAUGAUUUGGAGAAAUGGGGGCAAUUCGCCAGAUACAAUUUCAAUGCUGUGAUAACAGAUCAGGAUAUGGCAGACACAUAUCAGCCACCAUUCCGGGCUUGCAUCCAGCAGGGUAAUGCAAGCUGCUUGAUGUGUUCAUACAAUAGUGUAAAUGGAGUACCAGCAUGUGCAAAUCACGAUCUGUUACAGAAAGCUCGAACCGAAUGGGGUUUUCAAGGAUACAUCACUUCGGACUGUGAUGCCGUGGGUACUAUAUAUGAAUACCAGAAAUACACAAAAACACCAGAGGAUGCAGUUGCCAGUGCUCUCAAAGCAGGAACUGAUAUUAAUUGUGGAACGUAUAUGCUGAGGCACACUAAAGCUGCAAUGGAGCAGGGGAAGGUUUCAGAGGGAGACAUAGACAGAGCAUUGCUCAAUCUGUUUUCUGUUCAACUCCGACUUGGGCUUUUUGAUGGAGCUCCUGGUAGAAAUCAAUACAGGAACUUUGGACCUCGAGAUGUAUGCUCUUCAGAGCACAAGAAGUUGGCUCUUGAAGCAGCAAGGCAGGGUAUUGUGCUUCUAAAGAAUGACAAGAAAUUCCUGCCAUUACAUAAACACAGUAUCUCUUCACUAGCCAUUAUCGGUCCUAUGUCGAAUUCAACCAAUUUGGGCGGUGGCUAUGUAGGAGUUCCAUGUGAACUAAAAAGCAUUCUUGAAGGAUUCCAAGAACAUGUAGAGAACACGUAUUAUGCUGCAGGUUGCGAAGAUAUACCUUGCAAUUCAAGCUCCGGUUUUGCAGAAGCUCUGUCCAUUGCUACAGAAGCCGAAUAUGUAAUUAUUGUGGCUGGACUGGAUUUAUCACAAGAAACGGAGGACCACGACAGGUAUAGUCUUCUCUUGCCAGGUUAUCAGACGGAACUCAUUAAUUCUGUUGCUGCCUCAAGUAAGAAACCUCUGAUUUUAGUUCUUACCGGUGGUGGACCAAUUGACGUAUCCUUUGCCAAGGGAGACCUGCGCAUUGCUAGCAUUCUUUGGAUUGGUUACCCUGGAGAGACUGGUGGAAGAGCACUUUCAGAUAUUAUCUUUGGACACUAUAAUCCAGGCGGAAGACUACCCAUGACUUGGUAUCCCGAGUCGUUUACCAAUGUACCAAUGAGCGACAUGAGCAUGCGAGCUGAUUCUUCUCGAAAUUACCCUGGAAGAACAUAUCGGUUUUAUAUUGGAGAUAGACUCUACGAAUUUGGAUAUGGAUUAAGCUACACAAGUUUUACAUACAAAAUUCUAGCAGCUCCUAGCAAACUGAGUUUACGAGGUUUUAUCAAGGCUGGACCACGAAGGAACAUGCUUUCUGCGAGAAGCAGCAACCUUGAAUAUAUUCUUGUUGAUGAGGUGGAAUAUUGCAACUCAUUGAGGUUCAACGUGCAGAUUUCUGUGACAAAUAAUGGAGACAUGGAUGGAAGCCAAGUUGUUCUGUUAUUUUCGAGAACAUCAAAAUCUUUCAAGGGUUCUCCCGAAAGACAGCUUAUUGGUUUUGAAUGUGUCCACACACUAUCCUAUAAAACUGUUGAAAUAAGCUUUCUGGUAGACCCGUGUGAACAUCUUAGCAUUGCAGAUGAGCACGGAAAUAGAAUAUUGCCGUUGGGUGAUCAUAUUCUAAUAUUAGAAGACAUGGAGUAUGUUCUUUCAAUUGAAAUGUGACAAAAUCUAAAUUCAGUCCAGCACUCAAAUUGGAUUUUCAUUGGAGAGUUUCUUCGUGAAUUCAUCUUAAUCCAGGUUCUGGAAAGUGCAGAUUCCUUCGAUGCAACACUUUGAUCAUAAAAAUUGGUAGCUCUACAGCAUCAAAUAUUUUUCUGUCAGAUUUCCAAGUAUCAAAUGCAGAUUUCUAAAUGAUGAUAAACUAUGGAAAAUUGUUAGGGAACGCACAUUGAAGACAUGUCCAAGCCAGUUCAUUUGUAUGUCACAGCCCUUUAGUUCUACUGAUAAAGGAAGUUCCUUUUUUCCACCUAUUUGUUGUGUCCCUGGGUACUCGUAGUUGCACAGGACCCUGGACAGAUAGUGGAAACUACCUGCUAGACAAAUUAUCGACAAUCACUCAAUGUGAUUGGGUGAGAAUUUCUUUUAAAAAAAAAAAAUUAUUAUUAUUCUCCACUCUGUUUUUGAUACCUUAUCUGUUUGUAAAUCAUUAUAUAA
RNA transcript from Olea europaea var. sylvestris, 2934 nucleotides. It is a transcript of the gene named probable beta-D-xylosidase 6, with no coding region annotated. Lineage: Eukaryota; Viridiplantae; Streptophyta; Magnoliopsida; Lamiales; Oleaceae. The record is from RefSeq and is a predicted model, not a curated record. The transcript has 7 exons.